AAUCCUGGCAAACUGGGUGCUAACGGAGCACUCAAGGAACAGAAGGUUGUUGCAGAGAAGCUAAAUGAAUUCUUUGCAUCGGUCUUCACUGCAGAGGACAUGGGGGAGAUCCCCAGACCUGAACCAUUCU
Molecule: long non-coding RNA, 130 nt
Organism: Dermochelys coriacea (leatherback sea turtle)
Lineage: Eukaryota; Metazoa; Chordata; Testudines; Dermochelyidae
Exons: 3
Source: RefSeq, a predicted model, not a curated record